GAGGGUAUAGCUCAGUGGUAAAGCACUUGCUUAUUAGCAUGCACAAAGUCCUGGGUUCAAUCCCCAGUACCUCUA
Camelus ferus (Wild Bactrian camel) is the source of this 75-nucleotide transfer RNA. It matches the Rfam family "tRNA". From Rfam's summary of the family: Transfer RNA (tRNA) molecules are approximately 80 nucleotides in length. NCBI's taxonomy places the organism in Eukaryota, Metazoa, Chordata, Mammalia, Artiodactyla, Camelidae. The record is from Rfam.